Molecule: ribosomal RNA, 492 nt
Filed under: uncultured bacterium
Lineage: Bacteria
Description: partial 16S ribosomal RNA
Rfam family: Bacterial small subunit ribosomal RNA
Source: RNAcentral
AUUGAACGCUGGCGGCAUGCUUUACACAUGCAAGUCGAACGGUAACAGGCCGUCGGUUGCUGACGCGUGGCGAACGAGCGAGUAAUUCACCCGAACGUACCCAGCGGUGGGGGAUAACGCAGCGAAAGCUGACCUAAUACAGCAUGGGAUCGGAGGAUGAAAGCGGGGGACCGGGCAGCAAUGUUUGGCCGGGCGGCUAUGGAGCGGCGGCUGACGGAUUAGCUAGUGGGGGGGGUAAAGGCCUACGAAGGCGACGAUCCGUAGCUGGACUGAGAGGCCGGUCGCCCGCAUUGGGAGUGAGACACGGACCAGACUCCUACGGGAGGGAGCAGAGGGGUAUGGUGGACAGUGGGCGGAAGCAUUAUACAGCGAUGCCGCGUGUGGGACGAAGGCCUCGGGGUUGGAAUCCGCUUCUGGCAGGAGCGAACCGGUGUCGGCUAAGACCGGGCGUUAGUGACGGUACCGGGAGAAUAAGCACCGGCUAACUACGUG